This 275-nucleotide small nuclear RNA is filed under the name Mustela putorius furo (domestic ferret). RNAcentral's name for it is "7SK RNA (ENSMPUG00000021727.1)". It matches the Rfam family "7SK RNA", at positions 1 to 272 of the family's 331-position model. From Rfam's summary of the family: 7SK was discovered as an abundant small nuclear RNA in the mid-70s but a possible function has only recently been suggested. Two independent studies have found that 7SK RNA binds the CDK9/cyclin T complex (known as elongation factor P-TEFb). P-TEFb activates transcription by phosphorylating the C-terminal domain of RNA polymerase II. The record is from RNAcentral. Lineage: Eukaryota; Metazoa; Chordata; Mammalia; Carnivora; Mustelidae.
GGAUGUGAGGGCGAUCUGGCUGCGACGUCUGUCACCCCACUGAUCGCCAGGGUUGGCGUGGCUGAUGCGGCUGGCUAGGCGGGUGUCCCCUUCCUCCCUCACCGCUCCACGUGCGUCCCUCCCGAAGCUGCGCGCUCAGUCGAAGACGACGACCUUCCCCGAUAGAGGAGAGGACCGCUCCUCGGUCAAGGGUGUACGAGUAGCUGCGCUCCCCUGCUAGAACCUCCAAACAAGCUCUCAAAAACCUGCUGCCCAGAGCCCAUAGGCAGCUUUAU